This is a non-coding RNA of Arachnomyces sp. PD_36, 104 nucleotides long. The record is from the annotation of a GenBank genome assembly. NCBI's taxonomy places the organism in Eukaryota, Fungi, Ascomycota, Eurotiomycetes, Onygenales, Arachnomycetaceae.
GCCGGGCUAGCUCAAUCGGUAGAGCGUGUGGCUCUUAAAACGGGGACAAUUGACUCCAAUUAAUUGCUACCACAAGGCUGCGAGUUCGAGCCUCGCGUUCGGCU